ACGUAUCCAACGUUAAAACAACCCCGUGAACCUUCAUACGGAUUCUCGCAGCCCGUGAAAGCAGCAAUCCCUGGUAAAUCAUUGUUAACCAGAUUUUGAGUCAGGGACCUCUGCCGGUAAUGAGAAGUUACAGUUGCGAUCGAGUCCUUGUACCAAGUAACCUGGCAUCCCCAAGCAACCAGUGUCUGAAAGUGUCAUUGGUUGUGUAAGGAUGGCGCAGUCAACGAUCGCUGUAGGCCAACACGGCCGGCGACCGGGUUACUGGACCUAAAAAAGUCCCUUAAUAACCCCAUCCAUAGAUUAAGGAGUGCGAAUAAGAUCGCACCACAAAAAACCGAACAACUGUUAACAAUGGAUAUCUUGGUUCU
Molecule: unclassified non-coding RNA, 368 nt
Filed under: rhizosphere metagenome
Description: partial ribosomal RNA internal transcribed spacer region
Source: RNAcentral